GAGACCUUGUGUUUUUUCGAACUUCCUGCUCUGCUGCCUCCCUCACAGCCUUCCUCUCAGGUGGCACAGUAUAAAUUGUUGUGUAUCUUCGCGGCUUAGCAGAAGCCAACAUGAAGGCAGCCACAGUCUUGGUCCUGGUGGGUUUUGUCACCCUGGGAAUGGACAUGGUCUGUGCCCGGACUUAUUUUCCUUCCCAAGGUGAGCUGAGGGGAUACCAGUUGAGAGGCAAGAAGGCUGGGAGCCCAGUCUGGAGCCUGGAGGUAGUCUGGGAGGCAGGCACAUGCCCACUGCAUGAAUCAGACUUAUUUCCUUUGAUCUGUAGGAGAGAUUACCCUGCAUUUCCCAUCCUUAUGAGAGUGAGUAGAGUUCAACAGAAGCUGGGUGUAGAGAAUGGGGCAGGGGUCUCCCUAACUAGCAGAUGUACCCUAGAUGUGACUCCCAGGGGCAGUUGCUCUGAGGUGAACGCAGAUUUGUGCAGGGUAGGCAGGUGGCUGUCUUACAACAGAGGUUUUCCAGGAUGACAGUGCAGGUUCCUUUCCUGUUGAGUCUCUGCAGGCUUUAGAGCUCCAAGAACAUUCUCUCAAGGGCUAGACUCUGAGCAUAAGGACUUAAGAGUGACAGUGGUGCUGAUGAAUCUGAGGGGGUCCAGGAGCACCAAGGAAGGAAAGGAAGAAGCCGGAGUCCUGUGGUGAGGGCUUCAGACCUCCAGCAUAAGUUCUCCUCUCUGUCCUAGUGACCGCUCCAGGUUCCAAAAACACCAUUGUUCAUUUCAGAACUGCAAGACUAUGGAGAAUGCCCUGAAGUGCCUGAAGGAGUCUAUGGGAUUUGUGUUGAAAGGUGCACAGGAGAUGAUUCAUGUCCCAGGGGAAUGAAGUGCUGCAGCAAUGGCUGUGGUCAUACCUGCCAGGACGCUGUUUUCAAAGUGAGUAUAAACCAGUCAAGGGCUCCAUGCGGGCAGACCAGUUCCUGGUGGGCUUUUCUAGGGCAGACAGAUGCCGCCUUGUCCACUGCUCUCAAAAGUCUGCAUGACCCCAGGAGAGAGAAGUUGGAAGCAAAUGAUAGAAAGACAACCUGGUUGCAUUAUCUAUAGCCCUGUCCUAGAAGAGAAGCCCUAUUCAAUGACAGCCCCAAGGAGCUCAAGUGAGACAAGUAACCGUGACCUUAGAUUCACAAGGACAUGAACCAGGAUUUCUCACUCUCUUUCCUCUACCCCAACCGAAGUACCUUAACUCUUCCAGGAAAAUAGGUGAUCCUAGGAGGAAGAAGGGAAGAAAUGGGAACACCAGUGUAUUUGAGUACCUCCUCUGUCAGGCACGCAUGGGCUGGAGUUGAGAUAAAAAGGCCAACAUAAACCACGUUGGGGAACAAACCCGUAUCACAACCUGGUGCUUUGUUUAGAUUUCUACUAAGUUCUGUGGGAGCAAAGAGUGUGGGGGUGUGUGGGGCAGUCGUUAGAGAGUGGAGAACAUCGAAGCGAGAGCUUGAAGAUGCACAUAAUCUGCUAGACAUGGAAGGGCAGUCCAGCUGGUGGGAGAAAGGAGCUUUCCUGGAAGAUGGAAAAAUGAUGGUAAUGGGUAGAUGUCACCGUGGGGGUGGAGGUUGUGGGGAGGGACACUACAACAAGUCCUCGUCCAAAGAGCGGUGAGCAUGCCUACCACAGUGUCAGUGCUAAGCAGCCGGCAGUUUCUAAGCAGAGGAAAUGUCCUGAUCAAACUUGUGUUUCAGAAGAGUGGCUCUGGCAGCCAUGUUGUCACUGGUUCCCCAGCCAGAGGCCCUGCUGGGUUUCUAGUACACUGGAUUCAGUUGCCCCCCUGCAUCAGAAAUAAGAGGAAACAUAAAAAGAAAAAAAAAUGAAUGUAAUCACCAUUCAGCCAAAACUGGGAAGGCAGCUACUUUGUAUCCGUUUGUCUUACAGAAACACAACUUAUUGGAACAAAAGCCAGGGAGUUACCAGGCCUUACUAGCCUGAGAAUAUUAUUCUGGUUGUUUAACCUCUGCUGGUGCCUGUCCAGGAUUUGGGAGCAAUUCCUCAGUUUCCAUUCUUUGCAUGAGGAAGUCGGGAUGGACAUACAGGUUAUUAGAAAAUGAUGAAGAAAAAUAAUAAUGUGGGGCUUUUAAUUUUAAAGGAAUCCCAUUUAAUUUUAAAGGAUUACCAAUCUCAAAAGGUGAGUGGAGAUUGACAAGUGUACCUGGUGACCAGCCCAGAAGAUUUCUUGUGAAUCCAUGAAUCCCAGGCUCGGCUAUUCCCUAUCCUUGGAAGAUCUACAAUGGUGGGGUGACUGCUUUCUAAAGCUCUUGUGUCCCAAAUAAAUUUAAUCUGUGCAUGAGUCAGGCUGAGUCUUUCUUCUCACAGUUAGGCAUUCCCUCUACCCUCCAGAUUGGCACCAUCUUCGAACACUGCAGCAUGGCUCAUGAAAGCAAAGCCCUUGGGACACCUGUAGGUAAGAGACGAGGUCCCAGUGCCAGGUCCUUUCCCCCUGCAACAUCUGUAUCUCCAAACAAGACAAAGGGCACAACAAUAUUUUCUUGGGCAUUCUGUGAACAUAAGUCUGUUGGUACGUAAGGUAAGAUCGUCACAUCACUGUUUACAGCAGCUCAAUUCACAGUAGCUAAGCUAUGAAAUUAACCUAGGUGCCCUUCAAUAGAUGAGUGGUUAAAGAAAACGUGGUAUAUAUACACAAUGGAGUGUUACUCAGCUAUAAAAAAG
This 2707-nucleotide long non-coding RNA is filed under the name Marmota monax (woodchuck). The record is from RNAcentral. Lineage: Eukaryota; Metazoa; Chordata; Mammalia; Rodentia; Sciuridae.